This is a long non-coding RNA of Hemicordylus capensis (graceful crag lizard), 1264 nucleotides long. RefSeq lists it as uncharacterized. NCBI's taxonomy places the organism in Eukaryota, Metazoa, Chordata, Lepidosauria, Squamata, Cordylidae. The transcript is spliced from 3 exons. The record is from RefSeq and is a predicted model, not a curated record.
AUGCAUGGAAUGUUGACAAAAGGAUUUAAUAAGAGACAGUUGGUGACAGUUGGUUAGAAGGAGAGAACAGAGUAAGACAGAACAACAGAGCUCAGAGCCAGCGUUUCUGUGUGGGUGACUGAAUAAGGGAAAUUGUUCAAAUUCUGUGUAAAUUCUUGGUUAAUUGAUGUUCAGAGACUGUAACAAGCCAGUAGAGCACUGGACAGUACUCUGGGGUUUGGAGUAAAAAGCCUGAGUGGGAAUCCUGAGAGAGAAGGGUGCCCAGAGAAAAUGCCUGUCUUAAGUUAUUCAACAUACAAAAGUACUGUAGUUAGAAAGAAGGUCAAAAUACUCUGCGUGGUGUCUAACAGUUUUGACCUCACAGAUGAGGCGGAUGAAAGUGAUGGACAAUCACUUGGUACCAGAAGAACAAACAGCUCCUGUGCCAGAGAACCCAAGACUUAGGACAAGUAUGCAUGACAGAAGACUAUCUAAAAGACUGGGUCCUGAGGAUUCCAGCUUGGAGUGCUAUAAAAAUGAAAAAAAAAGUAUUAAUUAUGCAUAUCUCCAUGCACCGCGAGGCUAUUCCUGACUCGACAAGAAUUGCCGCUAACAUGCUUCAGGCUGCAAGUGAGAUCAGAAGAGGGAAAGAAAGCUGUUGCAACACAGCCUAUCAAGAGAGAAGCAACAAGAGCAUACAGGAAAAAAAAUAUUCAGAAGAGUUUCCUCUUUGGGCAGGGGAUGAAUUUUCAUCCGUUUCAUUUCACCUGGGGACAUUUUAAAAAACUGGCUUAGGCAUCUUUAUGAGUUGCUCUCUUUCAUGUUCAUUCCUGUUGCUGAGGAUUUUGCAGCUGAUGCUCAGGAAUCUGACUUUGCUGUAUUUAAUUCUUCUUCGAAACUUUAUUUUAUCCAGCUCACUUUGAAUCUGCUUUUGAAGGGGUCUCAAAUGCUUACUGACAGUUUUAUGGAACAAAUAGAAAAGACCUUUGUAUUGCCUGAAAGAGCUUGCAGCCUGAUGAUGUUGGCAAUUUCUGUUUCUCUCAGAGCCAAUUCAGACACACUGCCUCUUUGAAGACAGGAGAGUUACUUGUGUGUCUGUGUACCUAGGACAAUGAGAUUACCCUGUUCCAAAGUUCUGUUCAUUGCUUCCUUUUCUACACAGAGCCCCUGAAUGUAUGAGCCUCCCCAUAUAACCCAGUGGAAGGGAAAGAUCUUGUUGGCGAGGCACUUCAUGUAGUUAUUUGAGUCUUCAUGCCCACACAGACUCUGUACUGUUUGGGUACUA